RNAcentral lists this long non-coding RNA (2125 nucleotides) under Capra hircus (goat). RNAcentral's name for it is "lncRNA (ENSCHIG00000005970.1)". The record is from RNAcentral. Lineage: Eukaryota; Metazoa; Chordata; Mammalia; Artiodactyla; Bovidae.
GAGCUCAGAAUGACAUUUCAGAAUCCCCUAUUCCCAAACACAUAGCUCAUCAGAAAUGCCUCCCACUAUUUACAGAUUCGCUUCAUUGAAAUAUGAUGAUGCCAGGCAGACAGCAAUGUGUGUUCAGUGGAAUUCAAUUUUCCUGAUCACUGGCUCCAUCGAUCAGUCUGUUUGCAAAGGGCUGAUGCAAGCAUCAGUACACCUCGUGUAGACGAUGGGCAGAGUCAGAAAAAUACCUCUGUGGGACCUGCCGCAACUCCAUCAAACUCUGGGACAGUGAGUACUUUAUCUUUUCAACUUCACGAAACUUUCCUUGUUGUUCAUAAUUGUGUCAACAGAUAUCUGUUAACCUGUAACUACUUUCAAGUCAUGAAAUGCAUGGAAAAUCUCAAAGGGAGCUUCCUUUUUUGACCCAUAGGCAAAGUCUGAGAAAAGUAGAAGCAUGCUUCUCUUUUCAGAUAAUAACUCUAGGUCGUAAGACCAAAGGUGAUCAAUAACUGACCUCAGUUUCUCUGAAAACUGAACUGUGCACCAUGAACAUUCCCUCUCCAAGUAGGAUAGUUUUCCAAAGCCAUCACUUUCUGAAUAUUUUCAUAGACCCUUUGAUUUGUCUGCAGGGCCUGGUUAACAAAGAAAAGGGUUACUCAUAAGACAUCAGCAAACCUGAAGUCAGUUGGGUUGAUACUAUUAUUUCCAUUUCACAGAUGAAGAAAUUGAGGCUCAGAAAGUAUACCUGAAUUAUUAAAGUUCACACAGCUAAAUAAUGGUGUCACUGGGAUGACACCUGUGUACCUUAUUGCUCAGUUUGAUAUCAUGCUGUACAUUAAUGCUUGACUCCUGCCAGCUUCUUAUGAUCACAGUUGCAUUUUAUCAUUCAACACUGCAUCCUUAAAAUUUGAAUCCUGUUCAUUUAUCCUUGAGAAAGAAACCAGGUUAGGUACAAACUGCUGUUUUAAAAUAUAAUCUGAUUCUACUCUGAAAAGAGAAACUUGAGGAAGCCCUUCUGGUCAGCAGUAAAAGGUCAUGGUAGGUUCAAUGUCUGAAAAUCCAAUACGGAUUUCAACAUUCAGGUUAAUAAGCAAAGAAUCUUAGAUAAUCUUUCUAAUCUUCUUCAGAGCUAGCUCCUGUUUCCAACUUGACUGGUAAAGUUCAGUUAUACUGCCGGUCAAAAUAAACACUCUAGGUCAAAUAGUUCACUAUUUUGCUCUUGCUCAGGUUAAAUAUUUUAUCCCUUUUGGACAGCAAAAUGUGUGUGUGUGUGCCUGUAUACUAUUUCCAAGCCCUAGGAAAUAUAAGGUAAAUUUUAAAGCAAAUAAUAUACAAGUUGUCUGAAAUUGGUUAAUCAUCUUAACUGAUAUCUUGUGUCCCAAUUGCUAAAAAAAAUAAGAAAGAAAGAAAGAAAGGAGAAUGGGGAAGAGAAAUAUUUGAAAAGACAUAAACGGGUAGAGCGUCAUACCAACACUGACACAUACGCAACGUAAAUAAUCUCUCGAGCGCAUAAACUGCACUACAGCUUACAAAGCGCUUCCACCCACAAAACGUCUCUACUAUAACUCUCAAUACUACCCCACGUAUGAAGUAGACAGAAUCAGUAUAAAUAGCAUCAUUUUAAAAAUCAGAUAACAGAUUUAGAUCUAGAGUCUUGUUUAGGAGCCUUGAGUCCAGAAUUUCUUCUACACCGUCAUUUCCACAUCGAUUAGCCUUCACUUACAUAGUGUUUACCAGCAGAAGAAACCAUUAAAAGUGCUUUAUGUUGACUCACUUAAUGUCUAAAAUGCCUAGAUAUACAUACUCUGACUCAAAAUGCAAUUGAAAUUUUUAUGUAAACCAACCAAAAUAUAAUUCACAGUGGGAAUGGGUGGGCAUUCAUUACCAAGAAAUAUUAAUGUUGGCUAUGUGAAUGGCACACGUUUAAAUGGUUUGUGCUGCACUUGCUCAACACUAAACACUCUUCAAAAUGCUUUCCCCCUUAUAGUGUCUUUUGAUCCUCACCAGAUCCGCAUUUGACACAGCAGGGAAGCUGAGGCUCUGUCUCCCAGAACUCAGUCACAUUAGCCAUAUUUUGACAAGAAGCUGCACUGUUAGUGCUGGUGGGUGGUAGAUGUCAGGAGGGAAUUGAGAAGGG